This 552-nucleotide ribosomal RNA is filed under the name uncultured archaeon OS-7. Its description in RNAcentral is "bacterial SSU rRNA". It matches the Rfam family "Archaeal small subunit ribosomal RNA", at positions 876 to 1429 of the family's 1478-position model. The record is from RNAcentral.
GCACAACAACGGGUGGAGCCUGCGGUUUAAUUGGACUCAACGCCGGACAACUCACCGGGGGCGACAGCAAUAUGUAGGUCAGGCUGAAGACCUUGCCUGAAUCGCUGAGAGGAGGUGCAUGGCCGUCGCCAGUUCGUACUGUGAAGCAUCCUGUUAAGUCAGGCAACGAGCGAGACCCGUGCCCACUGUUACCAGCAUGUCCUCCGGGACGAUGGGUACUCUGUGGGGACCGCCGGUGUUAAAUCGGAGGAAGGUGCGGGCCACGGUAGGUCAGUAUGCCCCGAAUCUCCCGGGCUACACGCGGGCUACAAUGGAUGGGACAAUGGGUCCCUACCCUGAAAGGGGAAGGUAAUCUUCAAACCCAUCCUCAGUUGGGAUCGAGGGCUGCAACCCGCCCUCGUGAACAUGGAAUCCCUAGUAACCGCGUGUCAUCAUCGCGCGGUGAAUACGUCCCUGCUCCUUGCACACACCGCCCGUCGCUCCAUCCGAGUUUGGCUUUGGCGAGGCGUGGCCAUGUUGGUCAUGUCGAACCUAGGUUAGGCAAGGAGGGAG